GGCGUAGUGCACUAGGAAAAAAUGAAUGGGAGGUUCUACAUUUUUUCCAAGUAAAAACAUUUUCUUUCUUGCAACAGCAGCAUAUGUGUGUUUCACCCUGGAUGUUGUCAAAGGAGCCUCUGCUAUUUCCUAACAUGGUUGUUUAUUUCAAAGUGAUGAGUGGGCUAAUUCAAGAUUUGUGUUUCAACAACAGGUGUCUGACAUGUACUUGCCCACCAUAUAGGCAAGAUAUAUACUCUUCCCCACAGAAAGACUGAGCAGAACACAAAGCUGCAUGUGACCAGAGUGUCUCCUGAAAUUCUUGAAAGGAAAUAAACAUGUUAUUCUGCUGAUGUGUUCCCAUGCUACGAUAAGCUCGUGCCAGGACAUUCCUACCCAAGUUAGUGACUAAUCAGAUGUGCCGAUGAAAAGCACACCCUCCGGUGUCGUCAUAACCCGGAUGUUUGCACACGACACCCAGGUUCUUGGGCCUCCUGUCAAUAAAUCCCAAAGAGUGUUUUGUAAUCCAAUGUGUUUGUUUAGCAAACCAGGAUACAAGUAAAGGUCAAAAGGCUACCUCUUUAUUAUCCAAUAAAUGCCCAUUCUGGGCACCACUCUU
This is a long non-coding RNA of Sceloporus undulatus (fence lizard), 598 nucleotides long. RefSeq lists it as uncharacterized. The transcript is spliced from 2 exons. The record is from RefSeq and is a predicted model, not a curated record. NCBI's taxonomy places the organism in Eukaryota, Metazoa, Chordata, Lepidosauria, Squamata, Phrynosomatidae.